Molecule: ribosomal RNA, 738 nt
Filed under: uncultured bacterium
Lineage: Bacteria
Description: bacterial SSU rRNA
Rfam family: Bacterial small subunit ribosomal RNA
Source: RNAcentral
GAGUUUGAACCUGGCUCAGGAUGAACGCUGGCGGCGUGCCUAACACAUGCAAGUCGAACGGAUCCAUACUGAAACCUAGUGAUGUAUGGAUUAGUGGCGGACGGGUGAGUAACGCGUGGAUAACCUGCCGUAUACAGGGGGAUAACACUUAGAAAUAGGUGCUAAUACCGCAUAAGCGCACGGUUCCGCAUGGAACAGUGUGAAAAACUCCGGUGGUAUACGAUGGAUCCGCGUCUGAUUAGCCAGUUGGUGGGGUAACGGCCCACCAAAGCGACGAUCAGUAGCCGGCCUGAGAGGGUGAACGACCACAUUGGGACUGAGACACGGCCCAAACUCCUACGGGAGGCAGCAGUGGGGAAUAUUGCACAAUGGGGGAAACCCUGAUGCAGCGACGCCGCGUGAGUGAAGAAGUAUUUCGGUACGUAAAGCUCUAUCAGCAGGGAAGAAAAAAAGUCCUUUGGACUUUGGACGGUACCUGACCAAGAAGCCCCGGCUAACUACGUGCCAGCAGCCGCGGUAAUACGUAGGGGGCAAGCGUUAUCCGGAUUUACUGGGUGUAAAGGGAGCGUAGACGGCAGCGCAAGUCUGGAGUGAAAUGCCGGGGCCCAACCCCGGAACUGCUUUGGAAGCUGUGCAGCUCGAGUGCAGGAGAGGUAAGCGGAAUUCCUAGUGUAGCGGUGAAAUGCGUAGAUAUUAGGAGGAACACCAGUGGCGAAGGCGGCUUACUGGACUGUAACU